GGCGGGACCGCACAAGCGGUGGAUGAUGUGGAUUAAUUCGAUGCAACGCGAAAACCUUACCUACCCUUGACAUGUCCGGAAUCCCGAAGAGAUUUGGGAGUGCUCGCAAGAGAACCGGAACACAGGUGCUGCAUGGCUGUCGUCAGCUCGUGUCGUGAGAUGUUGGGUUAAGUCCCGCAACGAGCGCAACCCUUGUCAUUAGUUGCCAUCAUUUGGUUGGGCACUCUAAUGAGACUGCCGGUGACAAACCGGAGGAAGGUGGGGAUGACGUCAAGUCCUCAUGGCCCUUAUGGGUAGGGCUUCACACGUAAUACAAUGGUCGGUACAGAGGGUUGCCAACCCGCGAGGGGGAGCCAAUCCCAGAAAACCGAUCGUAGUCCGGAUUGCAGUCUGCAACUCGACUGCAUGAAGUCGGAAUCGCUAGUAAUCGCGGAUCAGCAUGUCGCGGUGAAUACGUUCCCGGGCCUU
Molecule: ribosomal RNA, 468 nt
Filed under: uncultured Propionivibrio sp.
Lineage: Bacteria; Pseudomonadati; Pseudomonadota; Betaproteobacteria; Rhodocyclales; Rhodocyclaceae
Description: bacterial SSU rRNA
Rfam family: Bacterial small subunit ribosomal RNA
Source: RNAcentral